UGGGAUGUAGCUCAGUGUUAUAGCACUUGCCUAGCACAUGUGAGGCCCUGAGUUCAAUCUUCAGCAUUUCAA
RNAcentral lists this transfer RNA (72 nucleotides) under Heterocephalus glaber (naked mole-rat). It matches the Rfam family "tRNA". From Rfam's summary of the family: Transfer RNA (tRNA) molecules are approximately 80 nucleotides in length. Their secondary structure includes four short double-helical elements and three loops (D, anti-codon, and T loops). The record is from Rfam by way of RNAcentral. Lineage: Eukaryota; Metazoa; Chordata; Mammalia; Rodentia; Bathyergidae.